Molecule: long non-coding RNA, 982 nt
Organism: Hippocampus zosterae (dwarf seahorse)
Lineage: Eukaryota; Metazoa; Chordata; Actinopteri; Syngnathiformes; Syngnathidae
Exons: 2
Source: RefSeq, a predicted model, not a curated record
UUUCCCAUUGCCUCUGGAAAACACCACAGUAUACCCGUAUUUGGGCCUCGAACCACCAGGCUAAAAAACAGCUUCUACCACCAGGGUGUGAAAUGCAUCUACUUUGCUAUCGUAAGAACUACGUCAGGGAUGCAGGACAGCGGACCCUGAGGACCGAAUUUGGCCCCCCCUGAACUACGUAAUACUGACCACACCCCCACCGCCCCCUUUACACAUACAGUAAGUGCAAUAUAGUUAAUAACGUGUGCAAUAUUGUCUGAUUAAAAAAAUAAUAAUCUGUGCAAGACCCAAAAGUAAAUAACCACACAACUACCAUAUGAUAAUAUGGUAUUAUGGACAUUCUCCCAAAUGUUAAUAACUAUGUUCGAACAGUAAGUGUGUCUUUUUACGAGUUGCAGGCUUUGAUUUUAUACUUAAAGACUGUAAAACGAAAUGCCGAACCGAUUUCACUCAUUUUUGUCACAAUGAAGUUCCAUUCUUUUCUAUACUGUUACGUCUGUCUCUUUGUUUGCUUUCAGACGCAGCUGGAGUGAAGCGUGUUUCCCUCCAGUAGGUGCACAUGUUCAGCAUUUACCAAUCAAGAAUGCCAUGUAUUUAACUCAUUAAUUACCAGCCAAUUCUGGACCAAGUCUGAAAAGACGAUUAAAAACGUCUUUGGGAGUGAAUGAGUUAAGGACUGCCAAACUGCCAAGUCUCUAGUCGGAUUAUUGACCUUGCUUGCUGGACUGCUUCAAGUGUUGUUUUCUAGACCUCUUGAUACUCUCCAUAGUUGGUCUAAUUAUUCAUAUAUUCUGGUUUGCAUUUUUAUUUUUUCUUAUUACUUUUUGAUCUUUGGCUUUGCGUUAUUGGCUUCUUGACAUGUCUUUUUUUUAUUAUUGGUGUUCCACAGUACCUGGCCUUGUCCAAGCACUUUUGUUUAUGCAUUGUUUCUCCUGUAAUUUGGUGGUGCACGUUUCUGUAAAUAAAUAUUUCUGUUAUCGCA